AUUUUGCAGAACCUUUGGUUUUUAACGUGAAGAUAUUGUGAUUUCCUGAUCAGAUGAUCGGGCUACGACAAUCAUUCCAAGAGUGGGUUUCUUGUAUUUUCUUGACACUCUUUAUGAGAUUCUUCGUGGGUUUUUCUUCCUUGGUUUGGCAGAUUCUGCUUUUGGUGGUAGUCCGAGCUUUCGGUAAUUUUUUGUUGAUUUCAAUGGAUUGAGACAAUAAGAAGUUUUGAUGGUCUGAUCGAGUUUGAGUUUUCGUGUAUCCCUUGAAUCAUUUAAGGAAUCUGGGUUUCUGGUAUUUUCUUCAUACUCAUAUCAUCUUUCUAUUUUUCCUCCUCUUUGUGGUAUCAACAGGAGUUUUAUAAAUACGUUAGUGGAAUCUGCUUCUGCGUUUUGAGAUUUUAUUUUCCAUUAUUUGAUCCGUUCAAAAGGCUUUGUUUGGUGUUUCUAUUAGUUUCUUUGGUACUCCGGGAUUGCACCAAGUGGUUGUUCAGGCUGGUGGUGAUGCAGUAUCUUUAUUUGGUUUCUGAUGGUUAUUUCGAAUUAUGUUUUGUUAGUUACUUGGAAUAUCUUCACUCUUUGGUAAUACAGAAAACAAUUUUCUGUGGUGAUUCUUUACCCGCUGAUGGAAGUUGUCGGAUAUUAAUGGAAAAGAGGUUUAAGAUUUUUCAAUGUUUUACAUGUUGACUUCUUGUUCAAUGGUUUCAGCUUGUGUUUGGGGGGAGUUAUAGUGGAGAUUGGUUAUUUUAUAAGGUGAUCUGGAGGUGAAUGUAUUCGUUGUACACUGCAACCAACCUUAUGCUGGUGAUCUGUAACCUUUCCCAGUCUGUGCAAUGUAGACUUUUUUUCGUUCUUUUCAUAUAAAAAGCCUUAGGUUCUUCGAUGCUUCUUGUGCAGGUAGCUUCGACAGUAGCAAUCGGUCUAUAUGUAUUACGCAUCAUUUUACCUUUUUCUUAUUCUAUUUUUUCCAUCUCUUUUCACCUUCAUUCUGGUAUUUUUCCCCCUUCCUGUUUGCAGAAACUGCUUAUCAGUGUUGCUGGUGACCAUCCAAUUCCAAAGCGUUAAUUGUCUUUACUGGACUUUGGAAACUUGAGCUGCUACUUUAAUGGACUUGAAUUUAAUUUGUUGAAAUAUCUAUCUUUUUCUAUAACUCUCGCUCUAGAUGGCAGAUAUUGGGUUUACCUACUAAGGUGAUAUGUGGCUGUUGGCAUUGAUCGGGAAGAAUAGAAGUUUAGGUUUUGGCAAAGAUUGACGCAAUACUGAACUUCUCCUAGGAAUUGCAGUCUCUUAAUGUCAGAGAGCUCUUUAGGUGCAAUAACUUGUUUUAUAACACUCUUUCCUAGUCUUUUAAGCAUUGGGAUUUCAGUAUUACCCUAUUUCUGAUUUAUACUGAUCCAUUACUCCUUUUUUGAGUAAUCACUGUUUGUAACUGGAUAUGUUUUUUUGUUUCUUUCCAUAUUUCCAUUUCCUCCCCUACCUAGUAGGUGGUGGCUGUUCAGUCUUCUAAAACUUUUGUAGCAUUGAAAUUGAAGGAUAAUGGGGAAGCUCUAAUUAUGAAAGUUCAUUUUUCUUUCCUUGGACUCAAAUUUACCUGCCAUUCUGCAUGUAUUUAUAAGAACAUUCACAAUUAUACACCUGCUUGUCAGUUUUCCAUGUAUAUAUUUGUUUCUGAAGGGGUAUUCCACGACAAGAGGUUGCCAGUCACAAUUAUAUGUUGUACUUUGGUUAGACCAACUAUUCCACAUAUUUCUCUUACUGUUUAUCCUUAGCGUUCAUAGUAAUAGGCAGUUCUGAAGCUAAAUUAUGAUUUCCUGUCAUUUGUUUGGGAUAAUAUUAUUAUUUUCACGUUAGUAUUUAUAAUUUAUCUUUUGGGAUACGCAGAUGAUAUUUUGGUGGACAGUAAUGCCAUAUGGAGAAGGGGCAUAAAAUAGAUUUUUUGGCUUCACCUAGAUUAUGGCAUCCUAUCUUUGCUAACCUGAUCACGCUUGGUUUUUUUCACCAUAAUAGAUUUUUGUCAUUGUUUAUUUAUUUCCUCUCCUUCAUAUUCUUUUUUUAUAGGUCGAGUUGUUCAGUUUCAGUCAUCAUAAGAUUUGGAGAUGGAGGACUCAAAUUUUUGCAUCUUGAAUCUAUGUACGGUGUUUAUAAAUGCACACAACCUUUGACUUCGAUUGAAAAAUUAAGUGUUUUAGUAGUGUUAAAGGUGGUGGUGAUUUGGAACCUACUAUGAUCUGUUUUGCAAAGAAUGAAGUUCUUGUCUAUUAUUUCUUUCUUUAAAAAAAAAGCUUCUUUAGGUGUUUUUAUGCGUUGCUUUAUUCCUUUUGCAGUCUUUAAGUGGUUGAUAGUGGGGAAAGCAAUAUCGUUUAUUGUUUGAUGUAGUUUGUUUUAAAUCAUGUUCUUGUGAGUUGAUUGGAAUAUUAGCAUCACUUUCAUAUUGGUACAGAAUCUGGUUUUUCCUUUGGUGCUUCAUCCACAGCUGGAAAUUCUUUUGGUCAAAUAAUAAUGGAUACUUAUGGAAGAAAUGGUGUAAGAUUUUCAUUUAUUUUCCUUAAUUUAUUUCUGGUUCAUCAGUCUCAGUUGUGUGUGGGGGGAGUUCGAGUUUGAUCAUUUUAUGAGGACUGAGGCCGUGUGAAGGGGAACUUAUUCAUUGUUCACUGCAGCUACAUAUGGAUUGGUAAAAUUGAAAUUUUUCUCAGAUUUUGCUAAUGGAACUUAUCCAUUGUUCUCUGAUGUGUUUCUCCCCUUGCAGAUAGAUUUGACAGGGAUUGGAUGACACUUGGUAGCUGUUAAGGUGUAAAGCUUAUUUGUGGUGUUGGUUUACGAGUUUAUUGGCCUUUUUAGCUAGUUUGUUCUAUCUUUCUAGACAGGACCGUCUACUUGAAAGAAAGGAUUUCAUUUGAAAUUCUUCUCGGAGUCUCACCUUCAGAGGUUCUGGAAUUACAAUCUAAGUGGUUUUCAGGGUGGUGGGGAUAUCAAUACCAUUAAAAUUGUUUGCUGUGGUUUGUUUUAAGGGCCUGUUUGGGAGCGAUUUUUUCCCCCAAAAAAUUGAUUUUUUGACCGUUAUUUCACUUUUUCAGCAUCAUAUUUGACUUCUUCUCUUACGGGUGGAUCCCACUUUUCUUAUAAUAGUCAAAAAAUCAAUUCUCAAAAUCACACCCAAACAGGCUCUAAAUGAUAUAUUUUUGAGAGUUCUUUGGAAUGUGAUUUUCAUCCUCAUAUGGUACAGACUCUGGUUUCUAUUGGUGCCUUCUCAUACACUGCUGAAGCCCUUGCGUCAACUAAUAAUGGAUACUUCUGGAAGAAAGGGUGUAAAUUUUUCUCUUUUCUUUGUUCAUUUCUGAUUCGUUAGUCUCAGUAUGUGCGCUGGAGAGUUUAUGAGGAUUCUGAUUAUUUUAUGAGGUCUGAGGGCGUGUGAAGGGGAAAUUUUUUGUUGUUUACUGCAAUAUUUGCGUAGGUGAUUUGAAACCUAUAUGGCCUUUGCUCUGUACAUGAAAUGGAAUUUGGACUUUUUUCAGUCUCUUAUAUAAAAUGCCUUAGCUUUUUUCAUGUUUCUCCCUGUGCAGAUAGAUUUUAUCAGAUGACGACACAUGGGUCAGGUAACUAAUGAGGGUAUAAAGUUUGUGUGUAGUCGGUUUAUGAAUUUGGUAGUUCUCUCUGCCUUUCUGGAUCUUCAACUUGAAAGAAAAAAUUCAUUGGAACCUGCUUCUUGGGGUCUCACCUUCAGGGGUAUUCUUGUUGGAUGAAAGCAACGUACACUUAUAAAGACUAAGCUCCCUCAAAAACACUGUCUGUUUGGAGAUAUCAAUAAUUGUAGUUAUCAUGAGUUGUCCUCUAUACAUAAACUCGGCAUGUACUGCACAGGAAUUUUCAAUAUUGCCCAAUGACAGUUCUUUGGAAGUUAUAAAGAUUAUUCACCAGUUGAUAACUUCUAUGCUACGGUACUGAUAUGCAUAAAAAGUAAAAUUGAUUGGAUGGUAAUUUCCUGUUCUGCACACGAGUACUUUUCUUGUCAGAAUCUGAUGUUGGGCUCUUUAGACUGUUGCUUCAAUUUGCACAUAUUUUUUUAAUUAAAAAUUUGCACAAUUGCAAUGAGAUGGAUAUUCGUUUAUUUUUAACCCACUGAUCUCACAACUUGGGAUCUUUUGUAGGUGAAGUCUUUAUAAAUAUAACCGUCGAAAGUUAUAGCGGACUCAAACUUUUGCUCUUCGAUCUGUGGAUGGGCAAAAAGUAUUUGGUGGAUGGGGGUAAAAUCAAUAUUCUAAUGUCGAAUCAAGAUCAACUAGGACAAGCAAAGGUUGGUGUUUAACUACCGGUAAUACUGUGUAAUCUAUUGCCUCAUUUUCUAUAACCCUAUUUUCAGCUAGGUGGUCAUCCUUGUACAUAAGCCUUGGAUUUGGUUAAUGCUUCUUAAUGUUCAGAUGGAGAUUUUCGAGUAA
Olea europaea var. sylvestris is the source of this 4430-nucleotide long non-coding RNA. RefSeq lists it as uncharacterized. The transcript has 2 exons. NCBI's taxonomy places the organism in Eukaryota, Viridiplantae, Streptophyta, Magnoliopsida, Lamiales, Oleaceae. The record is from RefSeq and is a predicted model, not a curated record.